GAAGCCUCAAGCCUGAAGCAUUGAACGUCACCUAGAGCCUGUUCAUUUGAUCUGACAGCACUAGAGAGGAAUGCAGAGGCAGAAACACGAACAUCCCAACUCUUGCCACAGGUGCUAGAACGAAAACAGGAACCUUUCAUAAGCAAACGACUGAUGCCACAGGAAUUGUUCUCCAUGCUUUACAAGGAAAGAAAUGCCAGAAAGACGGUGAGUGGCUUGCUCUCGACCAACUGUACCAGUGGUGACAGGUCACAGCUAGGACCUUGGGCUUGCCUCG
Molecule: non-coding RNA, 277 nt
Organism: Microcebus murinus (gray mouse lemur)
Lineage: Eukaryota; Metazoa; Chordata; Mammalia; Primates; Cheirogaleidae
Source: RefSeq, a predicted model, not a curated record